UUUCCUACGGGGGGCUGCAGUGGGGAAUUUUGGACAAUGGGCGCAAGCCUGAUCCAGCCAUGCCGCGUGCAGGAUGAAGGCCUUCGGGUUGUAAACUGCUUUUGUACGGAACGAAAAGACUCUGGUUAAUACCUGGGGUCCAUGACGGUACCGUAAGAAUAAGCACCGGCUAACUACGUGCCAGCAGCCGCGGUAAUACGUAGGGUGCGAGCGUUAAUCGGAAUUACUGGGCGUAAAGCGUGCGCAGGCGGUUAUGUAAGACAGAUGUGAAAUCCCCGGGCUCAACCUGGGAACUGCAGUUGUGACUGCAUAGCUAGAGUACGGCAGAGGGGGAUGGAAUUCCGCGUGUAGCAGUGAAAUGCGUAGAUAUGCGGAGGAACACCGAUGGCGAAGGCAAUCCCCUGGGCCUGUACUGACGCUCAUGCACGAAAGCGUGGGGAGCAAACAGGAUUAGAUACCCCGGUAGUCAG
RNAcentral lists this ribosomal RNA (470 nucleotides) under uncultured bacterium. RNAcentral's name for it is "bacterial SSU rRNA". It matches the Rfam family "Bacterial small subunit ribosomal RNA", at positions 335 to 797 of the family's 1533-position model. The record is from RNAcentral.